This 253-nucleotide ribosomal RNA is filed under the name uncultured bacterium. RNAcentral describes it as "partial 16S ribosomal RNA". It matches the Rfam family "Bacterial small subunit ribosomal RNA", at positions 524 to 776 of the family's 1533-position model. The record is from RNAcentral.
UACGAAGGGGGCUAGCGUUGUUCGGAAUUACUGGGCGUAAAGCGCACGUAGGCGGAUAUUUAAGUCAGGGGUGAAAUCCCAGAGCUCAACUCUGGAACUGCCUUUGAUACUGGGUAUCUUGAGUAUGGAAGAGGUGAGUGGAAUUCCGAGUGUAGAGGUGAAAUUCGUAGAUAUAGGAAGGAACACCAGUGGCGAAGGCGGCUCACUGGUCCAUUACUGACGCUGAGGUGCGAAAGCGUGGGGAGCAAACAGG